Long non-coding RNA from Mobula hypostoma (lesser devil ray), 1102 nucleotides. RefSeq lists it as uncharacterized. The record is from RefSeq and is a predicted model, not a curated record. The transcript is spliced from 3 exons. Lineage: Eukaryota; Metazoa; Chordata; Chondrichthyes; Myliobatiformes; Myliobatidae.
AUGGCAGUGCAAUCUGAAAUCGUGCAGAAGAGAGAAAUGCUAAAAUGAUAUUAUCAGAAUUAAUAAUGGAAGAAGCAUUAAGAGUCUGAGAAUGGCAGCACCACUGGGAAGGGAAUGUGAAGGAGUUCAUGAGGCUAAUAACAGUGAGGAAGACAUAUUCUUAAGUCUGCAAAAGCAAGUAAAAUGGUAUACCACCUCAAGGUGGAACCCAAUCAGCUGAUGUAAACUUUGUUAUCCUUGGCAAGACUUAAGGAGCUCUUCCUUCAGUUAGUCCUGACGAAGGGUCUCGGCCUGAAACGUCGACUGCGCCUCUUCCUAUAGAUGCUGCCUGGCCUGCUGCGUUCACCAGCAACUUUGAUGUAUGUUACAAAAACUUUUAUCUGUUUCUCUGCCUGGUAUGCCUUCACAGCUUGGAAUGGAAGCUCCAAUGCAAGAAGCUGCAGAGAGCUUUGACUCAGCCAACUCCAUCACAGCCACAGCCCUCCUCACUUUCAAGCAUAUCUUCAAGAACUGGUGUCUUAAGAAGUUCCCAUCCAUCACUAAGGGUCUUCACUGUCUAAGGCAUGCCCAUUCCCAUCAGGAUUGACCUGAAAACCCUCACUCAUUUCAGGAACAGCUCCUCCCCUCUGCCAUCAGGUUUCUGCUGCAACAGAUUUCAUGUCAUAAGAAUGCUAACAAACCUGAUUCUGCUCUAUGUACUGUUAAUUGUGUUAAUAAUUUCCAGCACAUUUAUUACUUCAGAUUUUCAGUACCUGCAAUAGCUUGCUUUGUAAUAUUUAAAGUCCGAAGCAGACUAUAUAUUCAGGGAAAAUAAUAUUGGCCUGUGAGGCAAGUUAACUUUGUAAUGUUCUAGCAUGUGCGCAGAACCUGUGCCAUCUAGUGGCCACUAUAACAAAGUUUCAGUCGUGUCAUGCAAAGAUUAGCAGAUCAACAAUAAUGACAGCACAUCUAUUACAGUGAGGUUCUAAAUUAAUUAUAGUUAAGUGAAAAGCCAAGAUCAAUCCUCUUUUAUAAUUAGAUGUAUGAAAACAACCAGGAAUAUCAAUACAAAUUUAACUGAUUUUUACUUUACAACUUCAUAUCAGCCAAUUUUAAAUUGUUA